Molecule: long non-coding RNA, 2208 nt
Organism: Gadus macrocephalus (Pacific cod)
Lineage: Eukaryota; Metazoa; Chordata; Actinopteri; Gadiformes; Gadidae
Exons: 3
Source: RefSeq, a predicted model, not a curated record
UAAUCUAUGAAUAAUAAUCGAAUGUGCAAAGAUUGAUCAGAUAAUAUUUGUUAAACGUUAAAUUUGUUAAUUCAUCACUAUAGGAUUACAUUUAGGGCAUUUAGCAGACGCUUUUAUCCAAAGCGACUUACAAUAAGUACAUUUGUCAUCAGAAGUGCAACAGCUGUCGGUACAGAAAGGAUGUUCAUAGAACCAAGUGCAAGUACAACAAUCGCUAGGCUAACCAAUUCCUCGUGUUACAGCAAUGAUAGCAGCUACUGCAGUUGCUGCAAAGUUAAGUACUAUAAUACAAUACGAUACAACACAAUACAAUACAGUGUACAACGGUGGCCAGAAGGGGGAGGGCGGCUAUGUAGAGUCGAGGUGGACUCUGAUUAGUUUUGUAGGUGAUAAUUACCCUAUCCCUAAUACCACGGAAUUAAAAAAAAAUCUGGACUUAAUUCUGAAAACUGUCUUUGUCUUUGUUUAUUACAUUUAUUUUCACAGAAAUGGAAGCGUUUUACACUGAAGUGAAGCAUUACCUGAAGCUAAACCAAUACCACAGCCUAACCACCACCGCCCUCAACCCAGAAGGCAGGAAGGGUUACAUAAGGAAGGUCUCAAAGAUCUACCUACUGGGGUAAGUCACAGUGUGUCAAACGCAUUUGAGAUAGUUUAUCUGUAGUGUUCUGUAUUUGCACUUUUCCUUUGCUUUUUUACCUUCGAAGUACUGCCCAAAAUAUUUGCUUGUAUUUGACCUAUAUUUGUAGCAAUUCACUUUUCAGGCCUGAAUAACAUUAAAAGCUAUUUAAUAAUUGAUUACAUGCCGAGUAUUGAUUAUAACCCUACACUUUCCAUUGAACAAUUACCCAUUAGCAUAAAUUGCAAAUUUUAUAAUGUAAUCAAAUGCUCACACACUUGCUGCUUUCAGACACACGUGUAAGUCAAUUUCACUAGAUUUCCUGAAGCUAAUUGUUGUCAUAAUGUUACCUACAUACACAUUCAUAAUUGAAGUAGGGCAGAUGAGGAGCUGUAUUGUCGGCACCAAAACCAUACAAGGUUGGUUGUGUGCACCAACGAGUGGGCUCGUGAUGUCCGCCGCCCGAAGACAUGUGAGGCUUUGUCAUUUGUUGACCUGUGAAACAUAGUAUUUUUUUUCCAAAUAAUUUCAACAGCUUUGUAUUGGGAUUUUCCCAUGUGGUGCACUAAUUACUAUGAAUAUUUCAUCUCAAUCAAUACAGGGAAAAGACAUCCACGUUGUUGACGCAUAUGUGGUUCCAACUUGGAAGUCUGAAACAGUGGACCCAAUGGCUGGUCUUCCAGUACGUCAUUAUUUCCUGUAAGCUUCUGUGUAGUUUGAGACUGACCAACAGUAAAUGCCCAAGAAUGUGUUCAAAUUGCUAGGGUGACCUGCUGCAGAAGGACCUAAUCAUCCUCCCUACCUGGAGCCGACAGCCAGGGAAAGCAGACCACUAUGUGCUUUGCGGACCUAGCACAGCGCAUUGCCCCAGGCCAGUGGAGAACUUAGCAUGGCAGAGACUUCGAGGGUUUCCCGUGCCAAACCACCGGCAAUUACUGUGGUGUCCUCAUCCUGAUGGUAAAUACCUUAUGUAGUCCCUAUUUAAGGUGUGUUGGUAUUAUUUGACACUGUCAUAACUUCAUAUGUUUCCCUUUUACGGUACGCAUUCUGCACCUGCACAGAUGCUCCAUUUCUUUUCACCGAGGUCAGUAUUUUAUUUAUGGGAGAAAGGAGACAUAAAACCAACACCACUAUGUUGUUUCUUUUUAACGUUGAUUUAUGGAGACUUUACUCGAAACAGUAACUUGCAUGCAAAAUGUUUAAUGUUGAGCAGAGAGGUUAUGACGCACUGAUUUUUGGCAGAAAAUGACAAUUAGUACUCAACCUAAUGCAUAUAUUCUUCCGUAACUUUUAGCUGGACAUGGCAGACAUCAGGAAAUGGUGGUGCAUUUCACUAAUGGAACGUUUCCAGAUUGAUGGGUAUGAAAAAACUUUAUUUUUUAUAAAUGUUAACUAUUAUGUUACUAUCUCACUCAAAAGCCAUGGAUGGAGGCUUGCGUACUGGACCAACGAAGCCCGAGCAUUGCUUGCAGGGUUGCUGGAGCCAGUGGAUAGGGUCCCAAAGGCAAGAAAGACCGAACGGCAAAGGACACCCAGUGGACACUGGGCAUCAGUGCCACUCUCCCCUACGUAUUAAUUCCUUUUUGUAC